CCUACGGGGCGCAGCAGUGAGGAAUAUUGGUCAAUGGGCGGAAGCCUGAACCAGCCAAGUCGCGUGAGGGAAUAAGGCCCUACGGGUCGUAAACCUCUUUUGCCGGGGAGCAAGGGCCGGGACGAGUCCCGGUCCGGAGAGUACCCGGAGAAAAAGCAUCGGCUAACUCCGUGCCAGCAGCCGCGGUAAUACGGAGGAUGCGAGCGUUAAUCGGAAUUACUGGGCGUAAAGCGCUCGUAGGCGGUAUGUCAAGUCAAGGGGGAAAUCCCCGCGCUCAACGUGGGAACUGCCUUUGAAACUGGCAA
This 305-nucleotide ribosomal RNA is filed under the name uncultured bacterium. RNAcentral describes it as "bacterial SSU rRNA". It matches the Rfam family "Bacterial small subunit ribosomal RNA", at positions 338 to 639 of the family's 1533-position model. The record is from RNAcentral.